CUACGGGCUGCUCCAGUGAGGAAUAUUGCACAAUGGGGGGAACCCUGAUGCAGCAACGCCGCGUGGAGGAUGACGCAUUUCGGUGUGUAAACUCCUUUUAUAUGUCAAGAAAAUGACGGUAGCAUAUGAAUAAGCACCGGCUAACUCCGUGCCAGCAGCCGCGGUAAUACGGAGGGUGCGAGCGUUACUCGGAAUCACUGGGCGUAAAGGACGCGUAGGCGGGUUGGAAAGUCAGGUGUGAAAUCCUACAGCUUAACUGUAGAACUGCACUUGAAACUUCUAAUCUAGGGUAUGGGAGGGGGAGAUGGAAUUAGUGGUGUAGGGGUAAAAUCCGUAGAUAUCACUAGGAAUACCUAAAGCGAAGGCGAUCUCCUGGAACAUUACUGACGCUAAGGCGUGAAAGCGUGGGGAGCAAACAGGAUUAGAUACCCGAGUAGUC
This 439-nucleotide ribosomal RNA is filed under the name uncultured bacterium. RNAcentral's name for it is "partial 16S ribosomal RNA". It matches the Rfam family "Bacterial small subunit ribosomal RNA", at positions 339 to 795 of the family's 1533-position model. The record is from RNAcentral.